Rhopalosiphum padi (bird cherry-oat aphid) is the source of this 806-nucleotide long non-coding RNA. RefSeq lists it as uncharacterized. Lineage: Eukaryota; Metazoa; Arthropoda; Insecta; Hemiptera; Aphididae. The transcript has 2 exons. The record is from RefSeq and is a predicted model, not a curated record.
CGUACUUUGUGAAGCAUAUCUUUUUCAAUAUUUAUCUAGUCUAUUAGUAUUUCGUCAAACUUUUGGGUGUUUAAACGUAUAGGUACUUUAACUGUGUUAAUUGUUAGAUACGUACGUAAAUUUGUAAAUUUAUAGUUAAAUAUAAUUAAUUAUGUUUGCAGAAAAAAAUUUUUCUUGAGGGCUGAGGCCCACAACAUAUGUAUUAUACAAUUUUUUUUCCCAAGUAACACUUUGAGUUUGAAAAGAUCUACCUUCAGGAGCAAUUUUUAAAGAUCGCACUGCGUUAUAUCAUGUCUUAUGCAUACCUAUACUCACACGUUGGUAACACGUCGGUACAACUUUAUCUAUACACGCCAACAUAUUAUAAUAUAUCAACUUGAAUAAGUGUGAAAGUAUCGCCAGUGUCAUAACCGAGAAUUAUUUAUUUGUGUUGUAAAGCCUAUCGAACCUUGAACUUGGCUCAUCUGUUUACGCCAUUGCAUCAUCUUUAUUUUCCUAGGGAUUGUAUGAAUAUCGUGAUAUUGAUAAUCACUCCAUCUACACACAUAGUAGUAUAGACAGUUUAGUACAUACAAAUAAUAUAUAAGGUAUACAUGUCAAUAUAUCAUAUACGUUUAUAUUAGUGGAGGUUAUGUAGCUAAGUACCAAUUUACUAUUAUAUACUACAGUAAUAGGACCGAGUAACGUUACUUUUAUUAUUAUUAUCAUAUUGUAAAAGGACUUCGAUUUAAUGGUUGCACGAUAAUUAUUAUUGAAUACGACCGACAAGAAUUCAUCUAACGCGUUACGCGUUGUUGACGAACCGG